CCCGAGCCCGCGCUGCGCGACCACGGGGCGGGGGUCCUGAGACCCGCCCGCCUGCUCCCCUCCUGCCCGGCAGAGAAAAGCCCUUUGCUGGGGGGUUCGGGGCUGGAGGACCUGAGACCCGCCCUCGGCCCCAUCCCACCGUCCUCGGAUCAGAGUCUCCGGCCCCCAGUCCGGACGGGGCUCAGUGUCAGGUCAGGGCGGGCCCACCCCGCGGCCGCCCCGCCCCACCGCCCCAGCCCUGACUGCCGGCCGGGGUCGUCCCGCCCCUCAGACCCCGCCCGUACAAGGACUGGGGUGGGAGAGGGACCCCCACGCGGAGCUGGGACACCAGGACACAGCCCGCGGGCGAGGAUGGGGACUCGGGGGGACCCCGGGAGACGCGAGCCCACGACCGCUUCCAGCUGGUUCCCGCCGGGUCGAACCAGCCGCUCCGGGUCCCGGCCCGGCCCGCGCACUCACCAUCUCCGCCCGCUCCGGACUCUCCGCGCGUCCUCCCCGCGGCCCCGGCAGGUGACAGCGACGGGACGGGACACCUGGGGCCGCGCGAGGCAGGUGCGCGCGGGGACACCAAGGGCUGAGACGGACUCCCACGCGGUUGCGAGCGCGCCCCUCCCCGGCUUUGAUUGGACGGUGCUCCAGCGUCCUUCCACAUGAUUGGACCGUAUUUCACGCGCUCAUUCUGGCCUGCAGUCUGAUUGGACACUGCCCUAUGAUGUCACCGUGCCCUCAUUGGACAGUUCCCCAAGACCCUCCUCUGUGCCUUCAUUGAGCGAUCCCGGUCCCGCCCCAGCACCGCUGCCUCGCUCCCUGCGUCGUCGUCCCUGAUUGGACAGCGUUCCCGUCGCUGGCGUGUGAUGGGCGGGGCGGAGGUCACGUGGCUGAAGGAGGCGGUGAUCUGCCUCCUCAGGGACGCGGACCGCCCGCCCGAGUGGCGCUGUCGGAGCACAGGCUCCUGGCGGGGACCUCCUGCCUCUGCCCGAGGCUCCCCAGCCCCUCCUCGCCUUCCUCCGGAACGGGCAGUCCUGACUCAGUUUCCCUGGAGCGCCCCUCCUCAGGACUCGGACCGGUGGGACAGGGGGCGCGGUCACCUGGGUGCUCGGCCCAGGGCGGGACUCCCGACUUGCCUCAUCUGAUGACAACUGGUGAAAUUCUUUCUGCUUAAUGUAAGGAAGCCACAGUCCUGCAGGGAGUGUCAGGCCAGCUUCCAGGUGUCUGAGGCUGCCUUUGCCAUUCUCAUUGACUACAUAAUAAACACUGACAUCCAUAUUUCUAUGUAUG
This 1278-nucleotide long non-coding RNA is filed under the name Equus caballus (horse). Its description in RNAcentral is "lncRNA (ENSECAG00000045742.1)". Lineage: Eukaryota; Metazoa; Chordata; Mammalia; Perissodactyla; Equidae. The record is from RNAcentral.